This is a long non-coding RNA of Oenanthe melanoleuca, 3155 nucleotides long. RefSeq lists it as uncharacterized. Lineage: Eukaryota; Metazoa; Chordata; Aves; Passeriformes; Muscicapidae. The record is from RefSeq and is a predicted model, not a curated record. The transcript is spliced from 5 exons.
GUGGGGCGAGGUCGUUGGUCUGGUGGAUUCUUCAGCCGGCUGUGAGGGGUUGUGUGAGGAGGAAGCCUUGGUGUGAGGGGCUCUUGGGGAGGGCUCGUUGGUGUGAGGAGAGAGUAACCAGCUGUGAGGGGCUGUGUGGGGAGGGGCAGUUUUAGGGGACAGGUGAGGGGCUGCUGAGGGAUGGGAGAACAGGAGACACCUGGUAUGUGGGGGUGCUGGGCGGAGUUUGGGAAAGAGGGUUUGUGGAAGGCCUAUGUAGGGACACUGAGGGGGCAGAAGAGCCUGAGGGGGAAGCUGGUGAGGAGCUGUUGCUGAGGCCAUUUGGGCUCGGUCAGGGUUGUGAGGGAAUGAGGAAACUGUGGAAAGGUGUGGGGGAACAGAGAGGUGGGGGACUCAGCAUUGCUGUACGUGGGGCCUGGACAUAGGUAGGAAGUGGCCUGGCACAGGUGGGAACUUUUUGGGGGUGGUGUGGCAAAGGGCUGUGGGUUUGGGGCAGGCUGGCUGUGGUGAGGACAUGGAGACAAGUGGAGCUGCCUCUCUGGCCAGGAGCAGCUCAGCUACAGGCGGUGACAAUCCCAGGAGGUGGCAGGUGGCUGCUCUGCUCACCAAAUGCGUGUAUUUCAGCCUGCCCUUGGCCAAGCUGUUUCUGGGGUGUGGCCAAAAGAGGGGGAAAAAAAAUCUCAUGGACUGAGCAUGUGGUCUCCUAAACUGUACUCUUGGCUCUCAGUGGUGGGUGUUGAACUUGGUAGGUUGGUGAGCCUUUGUGUGCUUUGGUAUCUCCAUCUAUGAAGCAGAGAUAACAGUUGGCUUCAUGCAGGGAUUAAUUAUCGCAUCUUGUAGUCACGUAUUUGUUUAUUUGUUUUUGCUAUAGAUUACAGCUGGAGGAAUUCUAAACAGUCCACUUCUCCUUGUCAUGGUGUUUGAGCGCAUUGUGCUCCUGUCUGAACAGAGGAAAUCACUGAGUUUCUGUCUUCUGAAAUAAUAUGGGAGAGACACUUCUGGGGAAAUUAAGGGCAUGUCUGAAAGGGCUGAAGGAGAUUUUACUCUGGUAUGGGUUCAGAAUAUCUGCAAUGGAUAAAGGAUCGGUAAUAUGGAGUCCUUGACUUGAAGAAUGAAUGAUGGAAAGAAGCAGCACAGGAAAGGCCUUGGCUCUGGUCCUUGGAUGGAUGGGUGGCAAAGUUGUCUGUGCCCUCCUGGAAGCUUUGUCCACAAGCAGGAACAGUUACUGUCUCUUGGUUUCUCAAAGCUGCAGCUCCUCACUGGUUCCACAGGCCUGCUUUGUCACAGGGUGUCAGUAACUUUGCAGAACUCACUGUAUCCUCUGCUGUGUUUUGGAUCAACUCUGGCAUCUGUCUGAAUGUAGGGGUCAAAGUCUACUGCAAGCAGUGACCGAUGCAAUUCCCUGUGUAAGUCAGGCUGGACUGCCUGUGCCUCAGGUUCUAACAGCAGGGGAAUUUGUGCAAGAACACCUUGGUAGAUGUUUGUGUGGAUUUCUCUGUGGUCCCUGUGAAGCAGGAGAUCCAGAAUUGUCUGAAAGCCAGGAUUCUUUGAAACCCCAGAGCAGUAAUGAUGAGAGAUGCAGCUGAGGCCAACCUGCUAGCCUGCCUCCCAUGCUGCUUCUUGUAUGUGUCCAAGAAGCUGCCUCCAGUUUAUACGGUUGCACUCUAGUAAACAAUUUUGCAUGCAGAUUUGGGCAGCAGAUGUUACUCAUGCCUAUGUGAACACUUCAGUGUUUUUACAACAGGGAUGAUCCUCAGAUUGAGUUCUUCUAAACAAUGGAUGUAUCCACCAGAAGUCACACUGGUUACAGCCAUUCUCUUACAGCUUGCUCAAAACACUUUGAAGGAUGGGUCACACCAUCCUUCUUUGGCCACUCUAGGGGAUUGACUCACAAAUAUGAGCAAAAUAAAAUUGGAUGGCUUAAGUGGCUGCAGCCCCAGCUGUGUCCCCACUGCCCAAUUCCCAGAAGGUCAUCGCUGCAGCCAGGCUGGCUGUGGAAGGCAACUCCUGAGCUGCUGUAGUGACAGCCCAUUCUUCAGGGUGUUAAUAUUUGUCUGGCUCCUCUGUGAAACAGUUUAGGAAGCUUAACCAGAAUAAAAAUGUGCACUUUUCCAUCUGAAUAAUUAUUUUUUAGUUUAGUUUCUCAGAUGUGCUCUCAGAAGCAGCAGCAUUGCUGUGAGGGCAGGGCAGAGAGAGAUGACCUUCCCUUUUGGGAGCAGCCAUUACAUCAGUUUUGCUGCCUCAUAAAACUAUGCCCUAUGGUUAUUUUUGGUGCUGGACUGCCUUAAUUUUCUGGAGAGUGAAUGAAGAAUUAACAUAGUGUGCUUAUGACAUUUGGAAACAGCUUUUAGAAAAAAAAAUCAUAAUUCAGCAUGUGCUGAGGCUUAAAUUCCUAGGGAUGGGAAAGAUGAGUGUCCAUGGUAUUAUUUCUACAAUUCAGCUAGGGGUUAAAUUUUAAAAAAUUUUUUAGGUUUUGCUGCUGUUUAAGACCUCUAACCUAAUGCCUACUAUCCAGCUGCCUCUAGAGAGGGAAGUCUUUAAAGAGACCAGCUUUGUACCUAUAAAUAAUGUACACAGCAGAGUACAAAAAUGGAGUCAAGGAGAAGCUCCUCCUUACCUGAAUGUAACUGCAGCAGCUCUGUGAGAAUAGCUGUGGUCAGGCUGUGAGCAGCACUCGUACCCUGCCAUCCAUCUUGACUAAACUGCUUCUGAGAACUAAUUCUGGGGUUCUAACUUGAAUAUAAACUGGUAAAUCACAGCUGGCUUUCACUGAAACACAUUAGUUGCAGCAGCCAAACGUAGCAAGGUUUUGAACAGUGUGGUUCUAAUCCUACUUGUAACUGAAGGUCUGCUGGAGUGCUUUGUUAAGUUGGAUGUGUUGGAAUAUGGAGAAUUUUGCAAGCCUGAAUCCCUCCUAUAAAUGAAAACACUGUGGCAAAAAAAUGUAAAUAAAUGCUACGCAUACUUUAAGAGGCCUUUACACUAUUUAUAAAUACAGUAAUUUUGGUGUUUCCUGAUUUUGAGUUCUAAACAGAAGACAGAUACGUGAAAUAUUACAAAGCAAGCAUUUUAUUUUUUUAUGGAUUAAUUUUAUAAUUUCACUUUUUACUUAUCUGAAAACAGUUAGUGGAAACUAAAUGUAGUGUUUUAAAGAA